RNAcentral lists this ribosomal RNA (453 nucleotides) under uncultured bacterium. RNAcentral describes it as "partial 16S ribosomal RNA". It matches the Rfam family "Bacterial small subunit ribosomal RNA", at positions 1 to 439 of the family's 1533-position model. The record is from RNAcentral.
GGCCGCGAAUUCGCCCUUAGAGUUUGAUCAUGGCUCAGAUUGAACGCUGGCGGCAGGCCUAACACAUGCAAGUCGAGCGGUAACAGGAGAAAGCUUGCUUUCUUGCUGACGAGCGGCGGACGGGUGAGUAAUGUAUGGGGAUCUGCCCGAUAGAGGGGGAUAACUACUGGAAACGGUGGCUAAUACCGCAUAAUGUCUACGGACCAAAGCAGGGGCUCUUCGGACCUUGCACUAUCGGAUGAACCCAUAUGGGAUUAGCUAGUAGGUGGGGUAAAGGCUCACCUAGGCGACGAUCUCUAGCUGGUCUGAGAGGAUGAUCAGCCACACUGGGACUGGGACACGGCCCAGACUCCUACGGGAGGCAGCAGUGGGGAAUAUUGCACAAUGGGCGCAAGCCUGAUGCAGCCAUGCCGCGUGUAUGAAGAAGGCCUUAGGGUUGUAAAGUACUUUCAG